Dromaius novaehollandiae (emu) is the source of this 1234-nucleotide long non-coding RNA. RefSeq lists it as uncharacterized. The transcript is spliced from 2 exons. The record is from RefSeq and is a predicted model, not a curated record. NCBI's taxonomy places the organism in Eukaryota, Metazoa, Chordata, Aves, Casuariiformes, Dromaiidae.
CGCUGCGUCGCGCCGCGGCGGCAGCAGCAGCAGCGCCGAGCCCGCGCGCCUCAGGCGGGCGGCGGCGCCUCCUCCCGGCGGGGAGGGACGGCGGCGGCGGCGACGGUCCCGGCGCCCGGGCCUGGCGCAGGGAGGGAGGCGCCGCCACCCCGCGCCCCGGCGGCGCAGCGCAGCGCAGCGCGACCCUCCUCCCGCCGGGGCGAGGGGCCGGGGCCGGCGCCUCCCCCGCGGCGGCCUCCCCCGCGGCGGCCUCCCCCGCCCCCCGCAGGCCGCGCCGCCCCGCUGCCGCCGCCGGGCGCGGGCAGGAGCUCACCUGCGCGCCGCUGCGGCAGAGCCGCCCGCCCCGCCGGGCCCUGCCCGCCGCCGCGGCCUGCGGCAGAGCCGCCGCCCCCCGGCCCGUGUGCGGGGCUGCGGCGGGGCCGCGGCGGGGCCGGGGUUGGUCCUGGAGCCGCUGCGGGGCUGGGGAGGAAGCCGGCGGCGCAGGGAGCGAAGGAAACGGGAACGGCUCGUGAACUUUCUUAAUUUUGUCUUUUUUGGAAAGCAGGAUCCCGUGAUGUCCUCAGACCUAAUUUCUAACCCCCCUGGGCCUUUUACUAUUUGCAGCAUAGUAUCGUGUGAGGUCCUGACAUGGCUCCGUUUUGGAAACUGUGGGGAAAAAAGCAAGAAAAGGUCGUGAAGAGAUUGUGAGUGAAGACCAGAGACAGGCAGAUGUUGAGUGAAGGAAGCUCUUCAUCGGUACAGAUGUGAAUUACAACAGAGUAAUCUUCCAACCUUUCCUGCACAAGUGUAUUUCUUACCGGGGCACAAUCAUGUUUCGUAUGUAAGAUCCGCUUACCUGGAAAUCCGUGGGACAGAAGGCCAGCUAGACUAAAAGGUUUCUAGGUGUGCGUAUUUCAGAGAAGUCAUUUCCUAACCUUUUGUUGGCCGCAGAAGAGCCAUCGCUCAGGGCCGUGUCCAGCUGGGUGCUGGAGAUCUCCAAGGAUGCAGAUGCCACCACCUCGCUGGACAACCUGUUCCAGUGUUCAACCACCAUCACAGUACAAGUGUUUUUUCUUCUGUUUAAGCAGACGUGACUGUGUUUUAAUUUGUGCGCAUUGACUCUUGUGCUGUCCCUGGAUAGCACUGACAGUCUGCCUCAGUCGUGUUUACUGCCUCCCUUCAGGUGUUCAAUUCAAUUGAAUGUAAAAGAUUGCUCUUCCUAAAAUAUUCAAUAAAUCUAAAUCGAUAAAUCUCA